AAAUUUUUUGCUGCCCAAAGUGGGGGCUAUUUUACUGGUUUUAAGUUAUGGUCGAUACAGAAAGAUGUACACUUCGACUACAUUGAGAAACAAAACUCAGAAGGCUCACUCGCAAUUCGUGUAACAAGGGAAUAAAAGACGCACCUACAAAAGAAUAUUCCACAUAUAUCGAAGUAAGAAGACUAGGGAAUACAAUACUUAACCGAAGUGAGCCUUCGACAAAUUCUCUGUUUGGCCCGCCACCAUGUACAUAAUCCUCACAUUGACUGAACCCAGAAAGCAUGUCACAGAAACACCUUUGAUGGAUCAGUUUUUCCCACCACUGAUUGCAGCAUGUACAUAAUCUUCACAUCGACUGAACCCAGAAAGCACAUCACUCAAAACACCAAGAACAUCAAAUGCCUCCUGGAAAUCCGUUGCUGAAGUCAUGUCAUCAAGCCACGAUAACAGUUCAGACGAGAAAUCUGCCAUUUCCUUAACAUUUAAUAGUCUCUCUUUCAUGACUAACUCCCAGCCUUCUAGCUUUCUGCCCUCGUCAUCAUCUUCCACAUUCUUGGAAGUCCCUUGGGUUCGCAAGGUGGUCGCACUAGAUGAUUUUUUUACCUUAAAGAAGCGCUGCAGUUGUUCUAUCAAACCAGUGUAGACAAGCAUUGGUUGAAUAGUUGAGAAUAACUCAAUUGAUCCCCCAGCCUCAGAAGCAGAUGUACUUGUACUUCCCGACUCUGUUUUCAAAGCCCCAGACAUAUUGGGGGACGAGCGAGGCACAGGCCUACCAUGAGUCCGCUGGAUAUACGCAUGGUAUAUACCUCGUUGUAAAAAGGAAGCGCGAUUCUGCAGCCACGACUCAUAGGAUUCUGAAAGAAGUGAGGUAACCAUCAUGAACUGGACAGUCUCCUCUGUACCAGCGGAAGUCUGAGUUCCAGAGGUAGUGGAGGCUCUGGAUUCUGAUGCAGGAGAACUUAAAUAGGUUGAGAUAGACUUAAUCAUGAUAUGCUGCUGAGAAGAAUCAUGAUCAAGAAGGUGACGCGCCAUUUGCAUCAUGAAAGGCAAAAAUCGAGCAUUACUGUCUUUUCCACCACCCCUGCAAUCUGCACUAAAUGAAGCACCAGUGGCAAAUCGAGCAAGCAUCAAAACAAUGUCGUAAGUUAACAACCGGAGCCGACUUCCAUCAGCACGCCCAAGAGCAUUCAGGUAAUCCCAGUAUUGGUCAACGUAGCGUAUAUAUUGCCCUAUUGGUACUGAUGGACCUCUCAGAGGGAAAAGAUUAUUGCAUAGUGUCUCGUUAUUUCUAAGGGCUGCUCCAUCCCAUUCUUUUUUAGGUUUACUUAAGGCCGCAUCUGCUCGUUUAGCCUCCUGAUGGCACUGAAAAUGUAUGAUGUUGAAAUGGCUGACCGUUGUGUAAACACAGUCCCCACGAGCAUUUCCAGGGCUUCCAACACCAAGAUUAACCCGUUUACUAUAAGUGUAAACACCAAGCAAGUCUGUAGGGCGCAAGCGGUAGCCUUCACGACAAACCAUGCAAGCCAAGCCUUCCUCUUCCUCAUCCUCAACAUCUUCCAAACCUUCCAAGAUAGGUCGAGCAACAACAAUACGUUCACCACCAUCUGAGGACAGUUCUUGGUGCAUACCAAGUCCCUGCAGUAAUUCUGCUCUCUUCCUCAAUGCUCGUCUCCUCAUCUCAUCCUUUGUCGCAUGACGUAGUUGGUGAACUUUCUGAGCUAAGAACCCAUCACCUUUUCCCUCUUUGUCAGACAGUGUGUCCAACAAGUUUUCAGCCCUGGCUCCAAUCUCAUUCUCACCAGCGACACCCUCUAAAGCAUGAAGCAAUGGCAAGAUUCCUCCUUCAUCUAUGCACUUUUGAGUUGCUAAAUGGCCCAUCGACAAACCCCUCAGCAUGGAUAAAAUAAGAGGAAUAGAUGGAAGCUUUAAACCCGAGGUCCACUCCACAGUUGAUUUGAAACCAACCUGUCCAGUGAAAGCAAAGGUUUCUUUUAGAUGGCUGAUUGCAGCCCCAGUAAUCCCUUUUUCCAGUAUAAUAUCUUUCAACCUCUCUCCACAAGAACUUGUCUUGAGGGAUUCUGAAACCCUAACAAAAUUCUCUAGGGUGUAUUUUUGCUUUGAAGCUUGCUGCGCAAUUGUUUCAUCAUUCAUAUUGUCUUCGUAAAGUUUUUGCAGCCUAUCAAAUUCGCGCCAAUUCUGUAAACAAGGUUCAAAAUGCUGUACAAGAGCUUCCAUUGCUGCAGGUUCCCCGUACGUCAAGUAAGGCAAUAUUCUUGCGACCAUCUCAGUGUUCCUCUGCUGCUUAUUUGACUUUCUAAGUCCAGAUGGAUGGGACAAUCUUUCAAGGAAAAGUAGUACAAUUUUCUUUGCCUGUUCACCAGCACCUGCUUCAUCACUGGAGACUACAUCUACAUCAGAAGUAAUGCUGAUGUUAUCACUCUCAUUUGCUUCUAGUGUUAAGCUCUCCACAAUCAAAAGAAUACCCUCAGCUGGUUCCAUGGCAUCUACAAAGAAAGCACGCCUAGCAGUCUCAAGAAGUAAGCCUAAAGCUCCCAGCUUUAGCAAUGCUUUCCGAUUUUCUCUUAUCUUGCAACAAAGCAUGAGCAAAUUAAGCACUGCAACUAACUGCUCUCGAUUGGACUUGAAAUCAUCUUGCAAACGCUGAACCAUGCCUAAGAGAAUUUCCAGUCCACCACAAUCCCGCACUGCACCAGCUAUCGCAAACUCCACUUCUGGAUCUUGGGUCUCCUCUCUAUCCUCGUCAAUUUCUUUAAUCAUGGGCUCAGUAGCUUCACCAUCUAAGCCCUGCAGUCGGUAGGUCACUGUCAUUGGAGGACAAUCUCGAACUGAUAUAGCAGCACUGGAAGAAAGAGAAGUUGUUGAGGCAACUACACUUGCAGACUGACUAUUGGAUUUCUUCCAUACUAGCUCAAAGACUUGAGCAAUACUCAAAUCUAGAGAGAUAAUAUUCCCAGCAACCAACAAUUCCAUGCCAUAAUCAUCUUCAAGCAGACCCAAGAGAUCAAGUUGCUGGCAGAUUUUAUUUUUGACAUCACGCAUCAAGGGACCAAUUUCAGCACUUGAAUAUGGAUUCUUCGUCAUUGAUCCCCUGAUAAAUUCUUCUUGUGUAUGAGCCUUGUUCAAGAUCAGAAGAUACACCGGCUCUGGUUUUGAUGGGCUAAUCAGAUUGCAGAGUUGCUCCAAGAUGAACAAAGAAGUUCGGCCUCUGUUCUCAUCUCCAUGAAUUUGUAGACCAGAAAUGCAUGCUUGGAUGAACUGACGUUUAUUUUCAUUGCUCUCUAGCAGAAGACUGUCAAGAAGAUCUUUGAGAAGUCUAUUACAGUCAUUUAUAAGUUUUGUCUUCUGCACAACCAAGCCCCUUAUCACAAUUAAAGCCUCAAGAACCUCUGAAAGCAAAUGCUCUCUCAUGAAUCUGGAUCUGAUGUUUGGAACCUCCAAAAACUUGCCAAGGAGCUCAAUAAGUUUAUGAAGAAUAAAUCCCUGAGAUAUGUCAACAUGCAGGCUCCUCUCCAAUUUUUCAACAUUGACCAGUUCCUGAGUGAUCAACUUACAUAUCGUUGUUAAGCAACCACAUACAGUCAAGAAAAGACGAGCAUCCUCCGUGUCUAUCAUUUUAAACAGCAGUUCGAAGUACUCAGCAGCAUUUUCUCCGGCAGAAAGAGUUGCCGAUAACAAAGACAUGAGCAAGUUCAGCAAGCGAAACCGCCGUGAUGAACUCUGGCCACAGAGUAAGCUAAUCAACAUACACAUCUCUGACCUAAUAGACUGUGAACAAGCACUCAGUAUGAGUUCUGUAACCCAUGAUCCCAGCUCAAAUGAUGAUAUCUCAUUUCUAGCUGUUUUUGAAGCAUGUCGCUUCCACCUGAGAAGAUAUUUCAGCGCAAGAUAGUCAUGCCUCUGAAGACGAGAUCUUUGACCACUUUUUCCAGCCGGAGAAACCUUAUACUGUCGUCUCACAAAAUCUAGAUAGGAGGCUCCUUUUUCCCACUCAGAAUAGCUCAACAGUUGUAUAUCUUGAGCCUUCUGAGAGCCAUUCCAACUUUUCUCUGAUGAUCCUGACAUUGACUUGCUCCCAGUAACAAGGCUAUUAGAUCCAGAAACAUUUGAACUGUCAUCUUUCACUUGUGUGACAUGAGAAGAUUUUCCUGCUCCUUGUUCUUUGUCCACAACGUUAGGCUUUGGAGGAGUACAAGCCUGAGAUAUGAUUCUCAGGCAAGGAAGAAUAACAUGCUCAGAUAUUGCAGGAUGUUUAGCUCCCACCUUGAUAGAUGCAAAUAACAACUGGAAAACGACUCUUAAUCUUGAUUCCCAGAAUUCAUCCGACAAUGAACACACAUCAGAAAGCAGCGACAACUCCUCACGGGUAGCCAACGCAAUGUCCAUGGAGCGAUGAUGUUCAAGGCAAUACAUUACCUUCUUCUGUAUUAGACUGUUCAACUCAGCUACUGCAUUAGUGUCACCCUCAGAGAAGGCACAAAGAGCUCCUCUAGCUUGGACACGAGCUGUUUUAGGGCCCUGAUGGAUGUUAUUUUCGAACAGCUCAGACAGAACACCAGCAGCAACAAGUUGCUUCUUAGAUGUCGGAUGUUUUGAUAGCACCUGUAAUAUCUCCAAACACUGGGUGACAAAAGUUGAAGCACAACCAUAGCAACUAUUCGGUACCCUUGAAACAACAAAUCUAGAGGCUGGACUAGCAUUAUCUGAUUGUUUAUGAUGCAGGUAAUUCAUCAAAACCCGCCUCAAACCUUGGAGGGUUUGAACACUCUUACUGACAGAAUCAAAUGCUGCUUUGCAUUUCUCACCAUAAAGGACGCCCAGAAGAGCAAUUUUACGGUUUAUCUUGCAUGAAGGUCCAGGCAAAGAAACCAUCAUUUGCUGAACUGAAUCUUUCUGCUGAGAGUCCAUCUCAUUUUCACCAACACUAGACACAAUCUUCAGCAAAGGUUUUUUGAAUCCUAAAAGCUGCUGAUAUCUACGAUGAGCAUUUUCCGACUCUGCCUCUAUUGCAGCCAACCCCCUUUUCAUGUCUUCAUCAUUUUCCAUGCUAUCAAAAGUGAAACUUGGCUUUGCCAUAAAAUUAAAUUCAAACCGACCAUAUUUGCUGUAUCCACAUUCAUUGCAUAAGAAGGAAUCAAGAUUUUCAUAAUUGAUGUUCCUGCACUGCCUACAUUGAUAGGCAUUCUCAUGACAAUUAUUGCAAAUACCGUGCCUAUCAGUCACAGCCCCAUUGCAAUGUCCCCGUUGCAGUCGGGCUGUGACUGAUAGGCACGGU
Molecule: unclassified non-coding RNA, 5293 nt
Filed under: Hevea brasiliensis (rubber tree)
Lineage: Eukaryota; Viridiplantae; Streptophyta; Magnoliopsida; Malpighiales; Euphorbiaceae
Source: RNAcentral